ACUCAUCUGCUUCCUGAAAAUAGACUUCAUGUUUUUAUUCCUCCAAAACCAGCUCUGAGAGAUAGUUUGUAAAUUUCAAGCAAUUAGAAGACAGAUGAUGUGGCCAAGUCCCAGGAUGGUAAGAAAGAAAGACUAGGAGUUCCACGAAGGUCUCUAACAAGGCUGGUCCGCAGCAGCUUCACAUGGAAUAGAGGUGGCCCUGAGGUGAGCUAAGUUUGGGAGGACUAAGUCAUCCCUGACCAUCUGGAUAUCAUACAAAGUGUGGGACAGGAGGGAACAGUCAUCAUUCGAGUCAUUAGUAUGGCUGUGUAAUGCCUCUGGAGAGACUGCAGAAAUCUCCUCCCUUCUCCAAGGAGCCUCCUGACUGCAACUGGCAGCAAGGGGGCAUCCAGCAUGUGCUGCCAACCACUCAGCUCUAGAGAAAGAGACGCAAGACACUUUCCCCUCUUCCACUGAACGCUUUUGAGUGGAUUUGCUAACCUUUCCAAUGUAAACAGUGUAUGUGUGUGUAGAUUUUUUUCUUUUUUUGUAGAACUGGGGAUUAAAUCUAAUACCUUUGCACUGAACUGCAUUCGAAGCCCUUUUUUCAAAGAUUUUUUGGAGACAGUAUUUUGUUAAGUUACUAAAUUGUCCAGCUCUGAUGUAAAUAUCUAACUUUUUAAAGUUAGUUUUCUGAGGAGACUUUAUUUCACCUGUUUAUAUAGAGAAACAUGUAUUUUUAAAAGAAAUUCUGACAAUGUCAAUUGUUGAUGCAAAUGUAGAGAACCUGGAACUCAUAUACAUUGCUAGGUGGGAAUACAAAAUGGUAUGACUAAACAAAUUUGAUACUUUUUUGAAAAAUUAAACAUUAAUACAUAAAGUGAAAUAUAAAUGACCUGGAAAUCCUAUUCACUCUCAAGUCUUCAGGGAAAAGAGAACAAAAUGGGCAUGUUAGGUGGCACAGGCCUGUGAUUACAGGCUCAAGCAGAAGGAAUGCAAAUUCCAGCCCAGCCUGGGUAAUUUAGUGAGUUACUAAGACCCUGCCUCUCAUAAAAAGUAUUUAAAAUGGGAUUUAGGAUGUAGCUUAAUGUGAAGGGCUUGGGUUCCAUUCCCCAUACUGGGAGUGAGGGAAGACGUAUAAAGAUAUGUAAGUUUAUGUUCAUACCAGCUUUAUUCGUAAGACCUAUCCUAGAAAUACUCCAAAUGUUCAUCUACAGGUGAAGGGAUAAACUGUGGCUUGUGAAUAUCCAUAUUAUAGAAUGCUACUCAACAAUAAAAUGAAACAAAUCAGUGGAACAUGCAAUAACAUGGAUGAAUUUCAAAAACAGAAUAUUUUUGAGAGUGAAAGAAGCUGAUUGCAUUUUAACUCAAUUAUGUGACUUUGUUCAUACAAAAUGCCAGACAAGAUACAAUGUGUGGUAAUAGAAAGCAAAUUAGUGAUUACCAAGGGGAGGGCUGGGUGUUCACUGGAAUGCAGUUGAAAAACAAUGUGUAUGCCUUAAUAAUGGUUACUGAACACAUACAAUUGUCAAGGCUCAUUUGGAGGUACCUUAUUAUCUAUAAUUUAUACCUCAACAAAGGCAACUUAUUUAAGAAUCUAUCUGUAUUUUUAAAGAGGACUUUGAUUUACAAUUCACUUUGAGAGGAGACAAUUUUUAAACAGUGACUAAUAAAUAAAGGCUAGAGGCUCCUAUUUAUUAUCAAAAA
Long non-coding RNA from Cavia porcellus (domestic guinea pig), 1686 nucleotides. RefSeq lists it as uncharacterized. The record is from RefSeq and is a predicted model, not a curated record. NCBI's taxonomy places the organism in Eukaryota, Metazoa, Chordata, Mammalia, Rodentia, Caviidae. The transcript has 3 exons.